GUAGGUGGCAAGCGUUGUCCGGAAUUAUUGGGCGUAAAGCGCGCGCAGGCGGUCUUUUAAGUCUGAUGUGAAAGCCCACGGCUCAACCGUGGAGGGUCAUUGGAAACUGGGGGACUUGAGUACAGAAGAGGAAAGCGGAAUUCCAAGUGUAGCGGUGAAAUGCGUAGAGAUUUGGAGGAACACCAGUGGCGAAGGCGGCUUUCUGGUCUGUAACUGACGCUGAGGCGCGAAAGCGUGGGGAGCAAACAGGAUUAGAUACCCUGGUAGUCCACGCCGUAAACGAUGAGUGCUAAGUGUUAGGGGGUUUCCCGCCCCCUUAGUGCUGCAGCUAACGCAUUAAGCACUCCGCCUGGGGGAUACGGCCGCAAGGCUG
RNAcentral lists this ribosomal RNA (373 nucleotides) under uncultured organism. Its description in RNAcentral is "partial 16S ribosomal RNA". It matches the Rfam family "Bacterial small subunit ribosomal RNA", at positions 527 to 896 of the family's 1533-position model. The record is from RNAcentral.